Molecule: ribosomal RNA, 681 nt
Filed under: Pseudo-nitzschia fraudulenta
Lineage: Eukaryota; Bacillariophyta; Bacillariophyceae; Bacillariales; Bacillariaceae
Description: partial Bacterial large subunit ribosomal RNA
Rfam family: Bacterial large subunit ribosomal RNA
Source: RNAcentral
GGAGCGUUCUAUAGUAGGGUAAAGUAGAAAUGUAAAUUUCUGUGGACGAAAUAGAAGUGAGAAUGUUGGCUUGAGUAACGAAAACACUGGUGAGAAUCCAGUGCCCCGAAAACCUAAGGGUUCCUUUACAAGGCUCGUCCGUGAAGGUUAAGUCAGGUCCUAAGGUCAGGUCGAAAGACGUAGCCGAUGGAAAACAGGUUAAUAUUCCUGUACCCGAUACAAACUUUGAAGCGAGCGGGGACGGAGAAGGAUAGCUAAGCCGGCAGACGGUGUCCGGUUCAAGCAGGUAGGCUGGGGGUAUACGAAACCAAAGGUACCCCCUUAAGGCCGAGCGGCAAUGACGAGCUGCGCCUACGGGCAACGCGAAGUUAGUGAUUCCAUGCUUCCAAGAAAAGCCGCGCGUGGAGUGAAGUAUCGGACCGUACCCUAAACCAACACAGGUGGGUGGGGAGAGAAUCCCAAGGCGCUUGAGAGAACCGUGGCUAAGGAACUCUGCAAAUUGGCACCGUAACUUCGGGAGAAGGUGUGCCCCUGCUGGUGACCAAAGCGGAAUCAGCUGGUGGGGGUUGCAGUGACCAGGUGGUGGCGACUGUUUACCAAAAACAUAGCACUCUGCAAAACCGUGAGGUGAAGUAUAGGGUGUGACGCCUGCCCGGUGCUGGAAGGUUAAGAGGAGAGGUG